UUCUAUUGGUCUAUCCAAUAU
Molecule: non-coding RNA, 21 nt
Filed under: Caenorhabditis elegans
Lineage: Eukaryota; Metazoa; Nematoda; Chromadorea; Rhabditida; Rhabditidae
Source: RNAcentral